CAGGUAGUAGGUGGUGUAACGGACCACCUAGCCUAAGACGGGUACGGGCCUUGAGAGAGGGAGCCCGGAGAUGGGUUCUGAGACACGAACCCAGGCCCUACGGGGCGCAGCAGGCGCGAAACCUUCGCACUGCGCGAAAGCGCGACGAGGGGAGCCCGAGUGCCUCUCCAUUUCGGGGAGGCUUUUCACAAGCCUAAAAAGCUUGUGGAAUAAGGGCUGGGCAAGACGGGUGCCAGCCGCCGCGGUAAUACCCGCAGCUCAAGUGGUGGUCGCUUUUAUUGAGCCUAAAACGUUCGUAGUCGGCCUUGUAAAUCCCUGGGUAAAUCGGGGCGCUUAACGUUUCGAAUUCCGGGGAGACUGCAAGGCUAGGGACCGGGCGAGGUCAGAGGUACUUUCGGGGUAGGAGUGAAAUCCUGUAAUCCCGAAGGGACCACCUGUGGCGAAAGCGUCUGACUUGAACGGCUCCGACGAUGAGGAACGAAGGCUAGGGGAGCAAACCGGAUUAGAUACCCGGGUAGUCCUAGCUGUAAACUCUGCCCGCUUGGUGUGGCUUGUACUUCGGGUGCAGGCUGUGCCGGAGCGAAGGUGUUAAGCGGGCUGCUUGGGGAGUACGGCCGCAAGGUUGAAACUUAAAGGAAUUGGCGGGGGAGCACCGCAACGGGAGGAUGCGUGCGGUUUAAUGGAUCAACGCCGG
This 694-nucleotide ribosomal RNA is filed under the name uncultured Thermoplasmatales archaeon. RNAcentral describes it as "bacterial SSU rRNA". It matches the Rfam family "Archaeal small subunit ribosomal RNA", at positions 226 to 921 of the family's 1478-position model. The record is from RNAcentral. Lineage: Archaea; Methanobacteriati; Thermoplasmatota; Thermoplasmata; Thermoplasmatales.